This 274-nucleotide ribosomal RNA is filed under the name uncultured bacterium. RNAcentral describes it as "partial 16S ribosomal RNA". It matches the Rfam family "Bacterial small subunit ribosomal RNA", at positions 523 to 796 of the family's 1533-position model. The record is from RNAcentral.
CUACGAAGGGGGCUAGCGUUGUUCGGAUUUACUGGGCGUAAAGCGCACGUAGGCGGAUUGAUUAGUUAGGGGUGAAAUCCCGAGGCUCAACCUCGGAACUGCCUUUAAUACUGUCAAUCUCGAGACCGGAAGAGGUGAGUGGAACUCCUAGUGUAGAGGUGGAAUUAGUAGAUAGUAGGAAGAACACCAGUGGCGAAGGCGGCUCACUGGUCCGGUACUGACGCUGAGGUGCGAAAGCGUGGGGAGCGAACAGGAUUAGAAACCCCAGUAGUCC